This 160-nucleotide ribosomal RNA is filed under the name Miconia erioclada. RNAcentral's name for it is "5.8S ribosomal RNA". It matches the Rfam family "5.8S ribosomal RNA". From Rfam's summary of the family: 5.8S ribosomal RNA (5.8S rRNA) is a component of the large subunit of the eukaryotic ribosome. The record is from RNAcentral. Lineage: Eukaryota; Viridiplantae; Streptophyta; Magnoliopsida; Myrtales; Melastomataceae.
CGACUCUCGGCAACGGAUAUCUCGGCUCUUGCAUCGAUGAAGAACGUAGCGAAAUGCGAUACUUGGUGUGAAUUGCAGAAUCCCGCGAACCAUCAAUUCUUUGAACGCAAGUUGCGCCCGAAGCCAUUCGGCCGAGGGCACGCCUGCCUGGGUGUCGCGA